RNAcentral lists this ribosomal RNA (417 nucleotides) under uncultured bacterium. RNAcentral's name for it is "bacterial SSU rRNA". It matches the Rfam family "Bacterial small subunit ribosomal RNA", at positions 28 to 438 of the family's 1533-position model. The record is from RNAcentral.
GAUGAACGCUAGCGGCAGGCCUAAUACAUGCAAGCCGAACGGCAAGUCUGAUAGCAAUAUUAGACCUAGAGUGGCGUAAGGGUGCGUAACACGUAUGCAAUCUACCCGCAACAGGAGGAUAGCUCGGGGAAACUCGAAUUAACCCUCCAUAAGAUCUUAGACCGGCAUCGGUUAGAGAUUAAAUCUGAGGAGGUUGCGGAUGAGCAUGCGUCUGAUUAGCUAGUUGGCGGGGUAAUGGCCCACCAAGGCGAUGAUCAGUAGGGGGAACUGAGAGGUUGAUCCCCCACACUGGCACUGAGAUACGGGACCAGACUCCUACGGGAGGCGGCAGUAGGGGAAUAUUGGUCAAUGGAUGCAAGUCUGAACCAGCCAUGCCGCGUGCAGGAAAGAAGGCCUUCUGGGUGUAAACUGCUUUUG